GAUGAACGCUGGCGGCGUGCUUAACACAUGCAAGUCGAACGGAAAGGCUCCUGCUUGCAGGGGUACUCGAGUGGCGAACGGGUGAGUAACACGCGGGUGAUCUGCCCUUCACUUCGGGAUAAGCCUGGGAAACUGGGUCUAAUACCCGAUAGGAUGUUGGUAUCGAUGUCAUUGAGGAAAGUUUUUUCGGUGUGGGAUGAGCUCGCGGGCUAUCAGCUUGUUGGUGGGGUAAUGGCAUACUAAGGCGUCGACAGGUAGCCGGCCUGGGAGCGUGUACGGGCACAUUGGGACUGAGAGACGGCCCAGACGCGUACGGGAGGCAGCGGUGGGGAGUAUGGCACAGUGAGGGCAAGCCUGAUACAGCGACGCCGGGUGGGGAAUACCGGCCUUCGGGGUGUGAACUCCUUUCGCUAGAGACGAAGCGCAAGUGACGGUACCUGGAGAAGAAGCACCGGCUAACUACGUG
This 466-nucleotide ribosomal RNA is filed under the name uncultured bacterium. RNAcentral describes it as "partial 16S ribosomal RNA". It matches the Rfam family "Bacterial small subunit ribosomal RNA", at positions 28 to 507 of the family's 1533-position model. The record is from RNAcentral.